This 468-nucleotide ribosomal RNA is filed under the name uncultured bacterium. RNAcentral's name for it is "partial 16S ribosomal RNA". It matches the Rfam family "Bacterial small subunit ribosomal RNA", at positions 28 to 507 of the family's 1533-position model. The record is from RNAcentral.
GACGAACGCUGGCGGCGUGCUUAACACAUGCAAGUUGAACGGAAAGGCCCUGCUUUUGUGGGGUGCUCGAGUGGCGAACGGGUGAGUAACACGUGAGUAACCUGCCCUUGACUUUGGGAUAACUUCAGGAAACUGGGGCUAAUACCGGAUAGGAGCUCCUGCUGCAUGGUGGGGGUUGGAAAGUUUCGGCGGUUGGGGAUGGACUCGCGGCUUAUCAGCUUGUUGGUGGGGUAGUGGCUUACCAAGGCUUUGACGGGUAGCCGGCCUGAGAGGGUGACCGGCCACAUUGGGACUGAGAUACGGCCCAGACUCCUACGGGAGGCAGCAGUGGGGAAUAUUGCACAAUGGGCGGAAGCCUGAUGCAGCAACGCCGCGUGCGGGAUGACGGCCUUCGGGUUGUAAACCGCUUUCGCCUGUGACGAAGCGUGAGUGACGGUAAUGAGUAAAGAAGCACCGGCUAACUACGUG